This 193-nucleotide long non-coding RNA is filed under the name Sus scrofa (pig). RNAcentral describes it as "lncRNA (ENSSSCG00025000536.1)". Lineage: Eukaryota; Metazoa; Chordata; Mammalia; Artiodactyla; Suidae. The record is from RNAcentral.
AGUCUGCCUCUGCUUCUCCGGCCCCACCCAUUCCCGUCCCAUUCUCUGUUCCUCUUCCUCUUUCUCUCCCUCUCCAACCCCAUCUUUUGUUUGAAAAGUUUCAAGUAGAAGGGAUUCCGGGUUCCCAGCCAAGUCACCGCAUAACGAGCGCAGUCACCGGGGCUCCGUUUAUUAAACUGUUGCUCCAGGGCAC